UUUAUGGAGAGUUUGAUCCUGGCUCAGGAUGAACGCUGGCGGCGUGCCUAAUACAUGCAAGUCGAGCGAACGGACGAGAAGCUUGCUUCUCUGAUGUUAGCGGCGGACGGGUGAGUAACACGUGGAUAACCUACCUAUAAGACUGGGAUAACUUCGGGAAACCGGAGCUAAUACCGGAUAAUAUUUUGAACCGCAUGGUUCAAAAGUGAAAGACGGUCUUGCUGUCACUUAUAGAUGGAUCCGCGCUGCAUUAGCUAGUUGGUAAGGUAACGGCUUACCAAGGCAACGAUGCAUAGCCGACCUGAGAGGGUGAUCGGCCACACUGGAACUGAGACACGGUCCAGACUCCUACGGGAGGCAGCAGUAGGGAAUCUUCCGCAAUGGGCGAAAGCCUGACGGAGCAACGCCGCGUGAGUGAUGAAGGUCUUCGGAUCGUAAAACUCUGUUAUUAGGGAAGAACAUAUGUGUAAGUAACUGUGCACAUCUUGACGGUACCUAAUCAGAAAGCCACGGCUAACUACGUGCCAGCAGCCGCGGUAAUACGUAGGUGGCAAGCGUUAUCCGGAAUUAUUGGGCGUAAAGCGCGCGUAGGCGGUUUUUUAAGUCUGAUGUGAAAGCCCACGGCUCAACCGUGGAGGGUCAUUGGAAACUGGAAAACUUGAGUGCAGAAGAGGAAAGUGGAAUUCCAUGUGUAGCGGUGAAAUGCGCAGAGAUAUGGAGGAACACCAGUGGCGAAGGCGACUUUCUGGUCUGUAACUGACGCUGAUGUGCGAAAGCGUGGGGAUCAAACAGGAUUAGAUACCCUGGUAGUCCACGCCGUAAACGAUGAGUGCUAAGUGUUAGGGGGGUUUCCGCCCCUUAGUGCUGCAGCUAACGCAUUAAGCACUCCGCCUGGGGAGUACGACCGCAAGGUUGAAACUCAAAGGAAUUGACGGGGACCCGCACAAGCGGUGGAGCAUGUGGUUUAAUUCGAAGCAACGCGAAGAACCUUACCAAAUCUUGACAUCCUUUGACAACUCUAGAGAUAGAGCCUUCCCCUUCGGGGGACAAAGUGACAGGUGGUGCAUGGUUGUCGUCAGCUCGUGUCGUGAGAUGUUGGGUUAAGUCCCGCAACGAGCGCAACCCUUAAGCUUAGUUGCCAUCAUUAAGUUGGGCACUCUAAGUUGACUGCCGGUGACAAACCGGAGGAAGGUGGGGAUGACGUCAAAUCAUCAUGCCCCUUAUGAUUUGGGCUACACACGUGCUACAAUGGACAAUACAAAGGGCAGCGAAACCGCGAGGUCAAGCAAAUCCCAUAAAGUUGUUCUCAGUUCGGAUUGUAGUCUGCAACUCGACUACAUGAAGCUGGAAUCGCUAGUAAUCGUAGAUCAGCAUGCUACGGUGAAUACGUUCCCGGGUCUUGUACACACCGCCCGUCACACCACGAGAGUUUGUAACACCCGAAGCCGGUGGAGUAACCUUUUAGGAGCUAGCCGUCGAAGGUGGGACAAAUGAUUGGGGUGAAGUCGUAACAAGGUAGCCGUAUCGGAAGGUGCGGCUGGAUCACCUCCUUUCU
This 1555-nucleotide ribosomal RNA is filed under the name Staphylococcus aureus. RNAcentral's name for it is "16S ribosomal RNA". It matches the Rfam family "Bacterial small subunit ribosomal RNA". The record is from RNAcentral. Lineage: Bacteria; Bacillati; Bacillota; Bacilli; Caryophanales; Staphylococcaceae.